Molecule: non-coding RNA, 96 nt
Organism: Mycena metata
Lineage: Eukaryota; Fungi; Basidiomycota; Agaricomycetes; Agaricales; Mycenaceae
Source: the annotation of a GenBank genome assembly
GGCCUGGUAGCACAGUGGUUAGUGUAUCUGCUUUACUUACGUGAAUGGAUUAAUGUGGUUCCGCAGAAAAUCCCUGUUCGAUUCGGGGUCAGGUUG